CCGAAAAUAGCUCAGUUGGUAGAGCGGGAGACUGUAGUUAGUCUGUCAUCUCUAGGUCCCUGGUUCAAAUCCGGGUUUUCGGA
RNAcentral lists this transfer RNA (83 nucleotides) under Linnemannia schmuckeri. RNAcentral describes it as "Mortierella schmuckeri tRNA". It matches the Rfam family "tRNA". From Rfam's summary of the family: Transfer RNA (tRNA) molecules are approximately 80 nucleotides in length. Lineage: Eukaryota; Fungi; Mortierellomycota; Mortierellomycetes; Mortierellales; Mortierellaceae. The record is from Rfam by way of RNAcentral.